Molecule: non-coding RNA, 1103 nt
Organism: Prunus avium (sweet cherry)
Lineage: Eukaryota; Viridiplantae; Streptophyta; Magnoliopsida; Rosales; Rosaceae
Source: RefSeq, a predicted model, not a curated record
CUAUUUUGGCAUUCAACUAACACAUCUUUGUUCUGAUUUGGUAAAUUGACUCAUAUUAUAAUUGUUUUUGUGCCAAAUUGCAGAUCAUAUAGCCCUUAUACUUGCGCAUUCUAAUCUUUUAUGUACUGAAUAUGUGUUUUUCGUUGAUCAAAUUUCCUAGUCUUUGUUUUUGUCAUAUGUUUUUAAAUUGUAUUUUUUUGUGAACACCUUCAGUCUUGUUUUUCUCUUUCGAAGUUUUUGUUAAAAUUUGUCCAGAUGGUUGAUGGGAGGCUGAUUUUUGUUGAAGUUGCCCAGAGUCAAAAACAUGAAGAGGAUACCAAAUCUAGAUAAUGACCUAAUUUUUUCUCUAUGUUGUUCAAGAUGGGUUAACUUCUUAAGAUUGAACACAUAUUAUAUUACUAUUGUAUGCUCAUCAUUGCUUUGGUAAUUCAAGUUUGAGAAAUCUGAAUACAGCUUCCUCUUGUAAUGUCAUUUUUCCCAUUAAAAAAGAGAAGAAAUGAUUCUAUUAUACUUCAGCGAGUAAAGGUAUUUUGAAAAAUAACCAAAGGUUUUGGCAUAUCUUUACUUUUAUUGUUUCUUUUUGUAUAUUCGUUUUGGAUAGUAAUUACCUUCAAAAGGUUAAGAACUUGUAAACUUUUGGGUAAGUAAUUAUCUUCAAAAUUUAAGAACUUAUAAACUAAGUGUUGUCUUUUUAUAUUCAUAUAACUGAAGUUAGUUCUAGCAUAUAUGCCAUGCCCUUGAUCGCCGAUAUUAAUAGGUACGAAAAGGAAAGUGUUUUGGCCUGAAACUUUGGGCAUUUACUUGUGCAUUUUGAGAUCACCAAGGGGACUAAUUAUGUAUAGAGCUAGAAGGAAGGACACCCAAAUGGAAUUGGAUGAGGUGCGAGGAGAAUUGGCAAGUCAUGUCCUAGAAUGGCUUUUUGAUUAAGCUAAACAUUCCUUCAUUUUAUGUCUUUCUAGCUAGUAUUUUGCUUAUGCAUAGACAAGUAUGGAUAAUUUAUGGUGUAGGGCUGGUAAAUUUGUGAUUUGGAUGUGACAAGUAUGGAUCAUUCAAGUAUUUUGCUUAUAUAUAUAGACAAUUAUGGAUAUAUUUAAAUUACUGUU